GAUAAAUAUUCAUAAAAACAUUUUAUCUCACAUCGACAGAAAGUUUUGGCACCUUGAUGUCGGCUUUUCGCCACCUGAGGUUGUAGUAUGUUUCAAGGGUUGGGUUGUUCACCAUUAAAGCAGUACAUGAGCUAGGUUCAAAACGUCGUGAGAUAGUUU
Molecule: non-coding RNA, 159 nt
Filed under: Cajanus cajan (pigeon pea)
Lineage: Eukaryota; Viridiplantae; Streptophyta; Magnoliopsida; Fabales; Fabaceae
Description: Bacterial large subunit ribosomal RNA
Rfam family: Bacterial large subunit ribosomal RNA
Source: Rfam by way of RNAcentral